Long non-coding RNA from Bolinopsis microptera, 924 nucleotides. RefSeq lists it as uncharacterized. NCBI's taxonomy places the organism in Eukaryota, Metazoa, Ctenophora, Tentaculata, Lobata, Bolinopsidae. The record is from RefSeq and is a predicted model, not a curated record. The transcript is spliced from 2 exons.
UUCCUAACAUGUUAGGGGUCUAAAUCUAUGUUUUUUUGCACGACGAAUCGAUUGGCAAGGUUCUUAAAGCUCUAAAACACUUAUUUUUUGCAAACCCUUCAGGUGCUGAAGGAUUGUAUCAAAACCAUACAAUAGCAUAUUAAGCCCUAUCGAUAGCCAUAAACCGCAUCUUGAAAAUUGCAACGUGAAAAUUUGCAAUAAAAUACAAAACGAAUUACCAAAUUUGUAAUUGUAGUGGUGUAGCCAAAAUUACCGAUUUUUGCCAAUAUUUCUACAAAUAUACAUUUUAGAGCACAUAAUGAUUCAUAAGUCUUAGAUAAAUGUGCUCAUUGCGAAUAAUUGUCAAUAUCGGACCUGUCGUACAAAAAAACAUGGGUUUAGAUACCAAACAUUUCAGGAAAUCGAUUUUGAACAAUUUUAUUAAUCGCGACUGAAAAAUUUGGCGCGUAAAAUACUAUUUCUUCAGUUUUUGCAAAAAAAAAGUUUUUUAGAACUUUAAGAACCUUGCCAAUCGAUUCGUCGUGCAAAAAAAACAUAGAUUUAGACCCCUAACAUGUUAGGAAUGACAUUAUAUAUAUAUUUCUCUCAAAUUGUGCCUGGACAUUUUGGUACUAAAAAUGGGCGUGCCCAAAUGGGCGAUUUUCCCAGACUGAAUUUUAGAGCUCCGAAGUUUUUUCGGUUCUUAAGACCUUUGAGAGCUCGCAAAAUCAGCCCUCUACUAUGAAAUGCAGGUAAAUUGCCAUAACUGACCGGACUAGAACACAUCUACUGAAAAAGCAUGCUUGGAACGUUUUGACUUGAAUAUCUGGCAAUCUUCUAAGAUAUUCAGUCAGAUAUUCAAGUCAAAAUGUUAAAAAAUAUUUUCUUACUCUUUUAUUGUGUUGUCCUCGUAUCUCAAUAAAGUUGUAUUAUUUAGCAAACAAA